CGGAGAGGUCGAGAACCCAAUUUUGGUCGUAAUAGUUUGGAUUGUAUGAAUCCAUUUUUGUUGAGAGAAUUUGAGAGAGAAUGAGGAAGAAGAUACAAGAAGAUGAUUUUGGUGUUUGAGGAAGAAGGAGGAAUGAGUAUAUAAAGAAGAGAGAGAAAAAAAGGAACAUGGAAGACAACGGUCGAAUGACCGAUUUUUUUAUUUUUUUUAAGUUGGCAACGACUAUUUUUUUUUGAAUGAAAUUUAUUAUUAUUAUUUUUAAUUAGGCACGUGUCACACACGCGCCAUACAUUUCACCCAUCAUGCCUCACCCGAUAAAUCGGGUCUCCCUCGAGUCUCCCCUUGCUGCAGUAGGGGACUUGAUUAGUGGGUGAUUCGAGUGGGGCCGAUCGAGUCACCCACUGUGGGUGCUCUUAGACCAAUUCGAUCUUUUCUGUGCACCACCCUAUAUAUAUACAAUGCACAACACUUUAAAAGACCAGACAACUUUAGCUCAAACCGAUUCAAC
Molecule: long non-coding RNA, 508 nt
Filed under: Salvia miltiorrhiza (redroot sage)
Lineage: Eukaryota; Viridiplantae; Streptophyta; Magnoliopsida; Lamiales; Lamiaceae
Description: long non-coding RNA (SMIL_LNC009637)
Source: RNAcentral